GGAAUAUUGCACAAUGGGGGAAACCCUGAUGCAGCAACGCCGCGUGAACGAUGAAGGCCUUAGGGUUGUAAAGUUCUGAUCUGGGGGAAGAAGAAGUGACGGUACCCCAGGAGAAAGCCCCGGCUAAAUACGUGCCAGCAGCCGCGGUAAUACGUAUGGGGCAAGCGUUAUCCGGAAUUAUUGGGCGUAAAGAGUGCGUAGGUGGUUACCUAAGCGCAAGGUUUAAUCUUGAGGCUCAACCUCAUUCUGCCUUGCGAACUGGGCUACUUGAGUGCAGGAGUGGAAAGCGGAAUUCCCAGUGUAGCGGUGAAAUGCGUAGAUAUUGGGAAGAACACCGGUGGCGAAGGCGGCUUUCUGGACUGUAACUGACACUGAGGCACGAAAGCGUGGGGAGCAAACA
Molecule: ribosomal RNA, 400 nt
Filed under: uncultured bacterium
Lineage: Bacteria
Description: bacterial SSU rRNA
Rfam family: Bacterial small subunit ribosomal RNA
Source: RNAcentral